RNAcentral lists this ribosomal RNA (566 nucleotides) under Escherichia coli. RNAcentral's name for it is "bacterial SSU rRNA". It matches the Rfam family "Bacterial small subunit ribosomal RNA", at positions 202 to 751 of the family's 1533-position model. Lineage: Bacteria; Pseudomonadati; Pseudomonadota; Gammaproteobacteria; Enterobacterales; Enterobacteriaceae. The record is from RNAcentral.
AAGAGGGGGACCUUCGGGCCUCUUGCCAUCGGAUGUGCCCAGAUGGGAUUAGCUAGUAGGUGGGGUAACGGCUCACCUAGGCGACGAUCCCUAGCUGGUCUGAGAGGAUGACCAGCCACACUGGAACUGAGACACGGUCCAGACUCCUACGGGAGGCAGCAGUGGGGAAUAUUGCACAAUGGGCGAAAGCCUGAUGCAGCCAUGCCGCGUGUAUGAAGAAGGCCUUCGGGUUGUAAAGUACUUUCAGCGGGGAGGAAGGGAGUAAAGUUAAUACCUUUGCUCAUUGACGUUACCCGCAGAAGAAGCACCGGCUAACUCCGUGCCAGCAGCCGCGGUAAUACGGAGGGUGCAAGCGUUAAUCGGAAUUACUGGGCGUAAAGCGCACGCAGGCGGUUUGUUAAGUCAGAUGUGAAAUCCCCGGGCUCAACCUGGGAACUGCAUCUGAUACUGGCAAGCUUGAGUCUCGUAGAGGGGGGUAGAAUUCCAGGUGUAGCGGUGAAAUGCGUAGAGAUCUGGAGGAAUACCGGUGGCGAAGGCGGCCCCCUGGACGAAGACUGACGCUCAGG